This 468-nucleotide ribosomal RNA is filed under the name uncultured bacterium. Its description in RNAcentral is "partial 16S ribosomal RNA". It matches the Rfam family "Bacterial small subunit ribosomal RNA", at positions 28 to 507 of the family's 1533-position model. The record is from RNAcentral.
GACGAACGCUGGCGGCGUGCUUAACACAUGCCAGUCGAACGGAAAGGCCCUGCUUUUGUGGGGUGCUCGAGUGGCGAACGGGUGAGUAACACGUGAGUAACCUGCCCUUGACUUUGGGAUAACUUCAGGAAACUGGGGCUAAUACCGGAUAGGAGCUCCUGCUGCAUGGUGGGGGUUGGAAAGUUUCGGCGGUUGGGGAUGGACUCGCGGCUUAUCAGCUUGUUGGUGGGGUAGUGGCUUACCAAGGCUUUGACGGGUAGCCGGCCUGAGAGGGUGACCGGCGACAUUGGGACUGAGAUACGGCCCAGACUCCUACGGGAGGCAGCAGUGGGGAAUAUUGCACAGUGGGCGGAAGCCUGAUGCAGCAACGCCGCGUGCGGGAUGACGGCCUUCGGGUUGUAAACCGCUUUCGCCUGUGACGAAGCGUGAGUGACGGUAAUGGGUAAAGAAGCACCGGCUAACUACGUG